This is a long non-coding RNA of Neodiprion virginianus, 488 nucleotides long. RefSeq lists it as uncharacterized. The transcript is spliced from 3 exons. The record is from RefSeq and is a predicted model, not a curated record. Lineage: Eukaryota; Metazoa; Arthropoda; Insecta; Hymenoptera; Diprionidae.
UAUGAAUAGUAGUAUUAGUAUAAUUUAAAUCAACUAAUAUACAAUAUAAGUGAAAUCAAUUUAUGUCUGUGGUCACUCAAGGGAUCUUGUUACAAAGCAUGUUUACCACCAUCUAAUAUCGUGUUUGGUAAUAUUUUCAGAGUUUCCGAGACAACUCAAUCCAUAAUAUUUGAAGAAAUUUUUAAAUGUCGAUUUUGACGUAAAAUUUUUCCAGCACUAAUACAAAUAAAGUUUACGUCGUCAGAUGCAAAGUGCAAGCCUCCACGAUUUUUUAGUUUAGUUAAUUUGGAAUUGCUGCUAUUAUCCGUAUUCUUUUCUAUCAUAGCAACGCACUGUUUACAAUGAAUUUUAUUCUUCAAUGAAAAUACUAUAGAACCGCUAAUAUGUUUGACUACUUCAUCGAUAUAUUCUGUGGAACACCAACCUUCUUUUUUGGUAUAAUCAUCAUGUAUACUAGAGUACAGGAGUCCAAUCUCUAAGGCGGAGAG